Molecule: long non-coding RNA, 571 nt
Filed under: Sorghum bicolor (sorghum)
Lineage: Eukaryota; Viridiplantae; Streptophyta; Magnoliopsida; Poales; Poaceae
Description: long non-coding RNA (SBIC_LNC015544)
Source: RNAcentral
AUGUUAUAAUAGUUAAAAAUUGAUAGUGAAAUUGUUAAUUGAAGGUUUGAAGUCUGAUUCUUUUUUGAAAACUUGAACAGGGGGAUAAUUCCCCCACCUGAUUUUAUUUAUCUAUAGUUCUGGUAACAUGAUUACAAAUGAGUUUACAACGAUUUUUUGUGAAACUAAAGUUUGAAUCUCGAUAUACGUUUGUGCCUUAUAAAGAGAAUAGAUAUAGUAUGUUUUAGUUAGGACAGUCCCAAUGCUACAAUAUAUAUAUAGUUUCUAUACUUAUAAAUUUCUAUAGACAUUAUAUAUAGAAACCAUGGUUUCAAAACUGAAUAUCAUACUGUUUAAAAAAACAAAAAAAAUAGAAUAUCAGGCACUCCAUUUGUGAAUAUGGAGCAACAUGUUUGGUUUGGAGAGUGAACCCGGCGUUAGCACAUUGAUCUGAUGGUUUUGGGGGGAACAAGACCGUCCGUGACUUUAGCUUCCCGGUGGAAUGACCCGGUGGUUCCACACGGCACUGUUACCAGAACCAAAACACGCUUUAAGGUGUCCAGUCCAAUCACACACAUGCAUAGCUAGCCGU